CCUACGGGUGGCAGCAGUGGGGAAUAUUGGGCAAUGGGCGAAAGCCUGACCCAGCAACGCCGCGUGAAGGAAGAAGGCUUUCGGGUUGUAAACUUCUUUUGACAGGGAAGAGCAGAAGACGGUACCUGUCGAAUAAGCCACGGCUAACUACGUGCCAGCAGCCGCGGUAAUACGUAGGUGGCAAGCGUUGUCCGGAUUUACUGGGUGUAAAGGGCGGGUAGCCGGGCUGACAAGUCAGAUGUGAAAUCCGGGGGCUCAACCCCCGAACUGCAUUUGAAAAUGUUGGUCUUGAGUAUCGGAGAGGCAGGCGGAAUUCCUGGUGUAGCGGUGAAAUGCGUAGAUAUUAGGAGGAACACCGAUUGCGCAGGCAGCUUGCUAAUCCGCAUCUGACGCUGAUGCACGAAAGCGUGGGUAGCGAACAGGAUUAGAUACCCGAGUAGUC
This 442-nucleotide ribosomal RNA is filed under the name uncultured bacterium. RNAcentral describes it as "partial 16S ribosomal RNA". It matches the Rfam family "Bacterial small subunit ribosomal RNA", at positions 338 to 795 of the family's 1533-position model. The record is from RNAcentral.